This is a non-coding RNA of Oryza nivara, 205 nucleotides long. NCBI's taxonomy places the organism in Eukaryota, Viridiplantae, Streptophyta, Magnoliopsida, Poales, Poaceae. The record is from Rfam.
CUUAAAAAAAAAAACUAGUUUCCGUGCCCAAUAUUUGACCGUACGUCUUAUUUAAAAAAAUUAUAAAAAAUUAAAAAAACAAGUCACGUAUAAAAUAUUAAUUAUGUUUUAUCAUGUAACAACAAUAAAAAUACGAAUUAUAAAAAUAAAAUUAUAUCAGAUGGACAGUCAAAGUUGGACACGGAAAUUCAGGGUUUGCUUUUUU